UCAUGAGAGUGGCGCACGGGUGCGUAACGCGUGAGCAACCUACCCAUAUCAGGGGGAUAACUCUCACAAAGAGAGAUUAACACCGCAUAACAUCAUUAACCGGCAUCGGAUUAUGAUCAAAUAUUUAUAGGAUAUGGAUGGGCUCGCGUGACAUUAGCUAGUUGGAGGGGUAACGGCCCACCAAGGCUACGAUGUCUAGGGGCUCUGAGAGGAGAAUCCCCCACACUGGUACUGAGACACGGGACCAGACUCCUACGGGAGGCAGCAGUAAGGAAUAUUGGUCAAUGGAGGGAACUCUGAACCAGCCAUGCCGCGUGCAGGAUGACUGGCCUAAUGGGUUGUAAACUGCUUUUUGUCAGGGNAAUAAACCUUUCCACGUGUGGGGAAGCUGAAUGUACCUGAAAAAUAAGGGAUCGGCUAACUCCGUGCCAGCAGCCGCGGUAAUACGGAGGAUCCAACGUUAUCGGAUUUAUGGGKUUUAACGGUGCUUAGGCGUCUUUAA
RNAcentral lists this ribosomal RNA (502 nucleotides) under Sphingobacterium faecium. Its description in RNAcentral is "bacterial SSU rRNA". It matches the Rfam family "Bacterial small subunit ribosomal RNA", at positions 87 to 584 of the family's 1533-position model. Lineage: Bacteria; Pseudomonadati; Bacteroidota; Sphingobacteriia; Sphingobacteriales; Sphingobacteriaceae. The record is from RNAcentral.